Molecule: transfer RNA, 74 nt
Filed under: Lophostemon confertus
Lineage: Eukaryota; Viridiplantae; Streptophyta; Magnoliopsida; Myrtales; Myrtaceae
Description: partial tRNA-Leu
Rfam family: tRNA
About the family: Transfer RNA (tRNA) molecules are approximately 80 nucleotides in length. Their secondary structure includes four short double-helical elements and three loops (D, anti-codon, and T loops).
Source: RNAcentral
CGAAAUUGGUAGACGCUACGGACUAAAAUCCGUCGACUUUAGAAAUCGUGAGGGUUCAAGUCCCUCUAUCCCCA